AGAUUGUAGGCUGCAACUCGCCUAUAUGAAGUUGGAAUUGCUAGUAAUCGCGGAUCAGCAUGCCGCGGUGAAUACGUUCCCGGGCCUUGUACACACCGCCCGUCACACCAUGAGAGCCGGUAAUACCCGAAGUCAGUAUCCUAACCGCAAGGGGGGAGCUGCCGAAGGUAGGAUUGGCGAUUGGGGUGAAGUCGUAACAAGGUACC
RNAcentral lists this ribosomal RNA (206 nucleotides) under uncultured bacterium. RNAcentral's name for it is "partial 16S ribosomal RNA". It matches the Rfam family "Bacterial small subunit ribosomal RNA", at positions 1295 to 1500 of the family's 1533-position model. The record is from RNAcentral.